This 252-nucleotide ribosomal RNA is filed under the name uncultured microorganism. RNAcentral's name for it is "partial 16S ribosomal RNA". It matches the Rfam family "Bacterial small subunit ribosomal RNA", at positions 524 to 776 of the family's 1533-position model. The record is from RNAcentral.
UACGUAGGUCCCGAGCGUUGACCGGAUUUAUUGGGCGUAAAGCGAGCGCAGGCGGUUCUUUAAGUCUGAAGUUAAAGGCAGUGGCUUAACCAUUGUACGCUUUGGAAACUGGAGGACUUGAGUGCAGAAGGGGAGAGUGGAAUUCCAUGUGUAGCGGUGAAAUGCGUAGAUAUAUGGAGGAACACCGGUGGCGAAAGCGGCUCUCUGGUCUGUAACUGACGCUGAGGCUCGAAAGCGUGGGGAGCAAACAGG